GACGAACGCUGGCGGCGUGCCUAAUACAUGCAAGUUGAGCGCUGAAGGUUGGUACUUGUACCAACUGGAUGAGCAGCAAACGGGUGAGUAACGCGUGGGGAAUCUGCCUUUGAGCGGGGGACAACAUUUGGAAACGAAUGCUAAUACCGCAUAAAAACUUUAAACACAAGUUUUAAGUUUGAAAGAUGCAAUUGCAUCACUCAAAGAUGAUCCCGCGUUGUAUUAGCUAGUUGGUGAGGUAAAGGCUCACCAAGGCGAUGAUACAUAGCCGACCUGAGAGGGUGAUCGGCCACAUUGGGACUGAGACACGGCCCAAACGCCUACGGGAGGCAGCAGUAGGGAAUCUUCGGCAAUGGACGAAAGUCUGACCGAGCAACGCCGCGGGAGUGAAGAAGGGUGUCGGAUCGUAAAACUCUGUUGGUAGAGAAGAACGUUGGUGAGAGUGGAAAGCUCAUCAAGUGACGGUAACUACCCAGAAAGGGACGGCUAACUACGUG
Molecule: ribosomal RNA, 497 nt
Filed under: uncultured bacterium
Lineage: Bacteria
Description: partial 16S ribosomal RNA
Rfam family: Bacterial small subunit ribosomal RNA
Source: RNAcentral